UUGAAUAUACUAAACUCAUAAUAUGCAAAAACUGAUUAUGAAUGUUUUAUUCUUGGAUACUUGCUUUGACAGACACUUGUGACCCAACUGGUUGAUGACUUGGGGAAAUGAGCUAAGCAGUGAAGAGCACUUCCUUGACAUUUUGGAUGAUAUGGCAGUAUACUAACAGGUGCUGAAUACCUGAGCUCUGGAAUUUACAUCUUCAGAAAGUGCUUCAAGGAGGACAAGAGGGAAGAGUGCCAACAGAACUUCAUCACACAUUGGUUAGGCCUCUGCUUAAAAAACCUUCUUUGGAUGUUAACAUGCUCACCCAUUAUCAUUCAAUAUGUCAGUAA
Molecule: long non-coding RNA, 335 nt
Filed under: Crocodylus porosus (Australian saltwater crocodile)
Lineage: Eukaryota; Metazoa; Chordata; Crocodylia; Crocodylidae
Description: lncRNA (ENSCPRG00005016527.1)
Source: RNAcentral